UGGGGAAUUUUGGACAAUGGGCGCAAGCCUGAUCCAGCCAUGCCGCGUGCGGGAAGAAGGCCUUCGGGUUGUAAACCGCUUUUGUCAGGGAAGAAACGCUCUGGGCUAAUACCCUGGGGUAAUGACGGUACCUGAAGAAUAAGCACCGGCUAACUACGUGCCAGCAGCCGCGGUAAUACGUAGGGUGCAAGCGUUAAUCGGAAUUACUGGGCGUAAAGCGUGCGCAGGCGGUUAUGCAAGACAGAUGUGAAAUCCCCGGGCUCAACCUGGGAACUGCAUUUGUGACUGUAUAGCUAGAGUACGGUAGAGGGGGAUGGAAUUCCGCGUGUAGCAGUGAAAUGCGUAGAUAUGCGGAGGAACACCGAUGGCGAAGGCAAUCCCCUGGACCUGUACUGACGCUCAUGCACGAAAGCGUGGGGAGCGAAACAGGAUUAGAUACCCGAGUAGUCCCUGAGCGGGCUGGCAAGGCGCAU
This 473-nucleotide ribosomal RNA is filed under the name uncultured bacterium. RNAcentral describes it as "bacterial SSU rRNA". It matches the Rfam family "Bacterial small subunit ribosomal RNA", at positions 355 to 825 of the family's 1533-position model. The record is from RNAcentral.